UAAAACCAGCACCUCAAGUGGUCAGGAGGAUUAUUGGGCCUAAAGCAUCCGUAGCCUGUUCUAUAAGUUUGCGGUUAAAUCCAUGUGCUCAACAUAUGGGCUGCCGUAAAUACUGUAGAACUAGGGAGUGGGAGAGGUAGACGGUACUCGAUAGGAAGGGGUAAAAUCCUUUGAUCUAUUGAUGACCACCUGUGGCGAAGGCGGUCUACCAGAACACGUUCGACGGUGAGGGAUGAAAGCUGGGGGAGCAAACCGGAUUAGAUACCCGGGUAGUCCCAGCUGUAAACGAUGCAGACUCGAUGAUGCAAUGGCAUAGAGCUAUUGCAGUAUCGCAGGGAAGCCGUUAAGUUUGCCGCCUGGGAAGUACGUACGCAAGUAUG
RNAcentral lists this ribosomal RNA (380 nucleotides) under uncultured crenarchaeote. Its description in RNAcentral is "bacterial SSU rRNA". It matches the Rfam family "Archaeal small subunit ribosomal RNA", at positions 471 to 851 of the family's 1478-position model. The record is from RNAcentral. Lineage: Archaea; Thermoproteati; Thermoproteota.